RNAcentral lists this ribosomal RNA (250 nucleotides) under uncultured bacterium. RNAcentral describes it as "partial 16S ribosomal RNA". It matches the Rfam family "Bacterial small subunit ribosomal RNA", at positions 524 to 773 of the family's 1533-position model. The record is from RNAcentral.
UACGGAGGGGGCUAGCGUUAUUCGGAAUUACUGGGCGUAAAGCGCACGUAGGCGGCUAUUCAAGUCAGAGGUGAAAGCCCGGAGCUCAACUCCGGAACUGCCUUUGAAACUAGAUAGCUCGAACAUCGGAGAGGUAAGUGGAAUUCCGAGUGUAGAGGUGAAAUUCGUAGAUAUUCGGAAGAACACCAGUGGCGAAGGCGGCUUACUGGACGAUUGUUGACGCUGAGGUGCGAAAGCGUGGGGAGCAAAC